RNAcentral lists this ribosomal RNA (226 nucleotides) under uncultured bacterium. RNAcentral's name for it is "partial 16S ribosomal RNA". It matches the Rfam family "Bacterial small subunit ribosomal RNA", at positions 109 to 334 of the family's 1533-position model. The record is from RNAcentral.
AGUAACACGUGGGCAACCUGGCUCUAAGAGGGGGACAACAGUUGGAAACGACUGCUAAUACCGCAUAACGUAUCGGGAUGGCAUCUUUCUGAUACCAAAGAUUUUAUCGCUUAGAGAUGGGCUCGCGUCUGAUUAGAUAGUUGGCGGGGUAACGGCCCACCAAGUCGACGAUCAGUAGCCGGACUGAGAGGUUGAACGGCCACAUUGGGACUGAGACACGGCCCAG